GGGAACUGAUGAGGUCCGUCCGCGAAGGAAUCACGAGAUGUCGGUCACUUCGGCGCUCGGCUGCGGCGCCGCCUUCCUCCGCCACCUCUCCGCCGGGUCCCGGUCCGGUUCGACGCUGAUUCUGCUUCGUGCGGGAGGGGCCAAGCCGCGGCCGUACUCCUCGUCCCUCGCGCGUUGCGCCGCCCCCGAACCCCCUGACGUCUCCCGCCUCGCCGACACCGCUCGCAUCUCCCUCACCCCGGAAGAGGUGGAACAAUUUGCCCCCAAGAUCAGACAAGUCAUCGACUGGUUUGGACAACUUCAGGCUGUUGAUCUGGAAACCAUUGAACCGUCACUUCGAGCUGAUGCUGAUGCUAGCACAAGCCAAAGAGAAGAUGCUCCAGAAACAUUUGGGAACAGGGAGGCAAUUAUAGCAGCAGUUCCAAGCUACGACGACCCAUAUAUAAAAGUUCCAAAGGUCUUGAAUAAGGAGUAAAGUUUCAUUUCCUUGCCUGCUGUUUCAAACAGUAAACAGGUUGGAUCUUCAAGGUGCAAGGGUGGUUCUCAGCUUUGAUCAAGGGAGGGAGGUCAUAGAGCAAAACCAUAGGCAGCAAUAUCCUGAUAUGGUGACUAAUAACUUGCCUGAUAGAACAGAGCUAGGAAGGGUGGCGAUGGAACAUUCGUUUCAUAUAACAGAAUUUGUUGAUGAGCCCACCUUUUACCUUGCUGUCUUGAGAUUCCAUGACUAAGAAAACUCAGGUUAUUCUUUUUGA
Musa acuminata AAA Group (dessert banana) is the source of this 752-nucleotide RNA transcript. It is a transcript of the gene named glutamyl-tRNA(Gln) amidotransferase subunit C, chloroplastic/mitochondrial, with no coding region annotated. The transcript has 6 exons. The record is from RefSeq and is a predicted model, not a curated record. Lineage: Eukaryota; Viridiplantae; Streptophyta; Magnoliopsida; Zingiberales; Musaceae.